This 482-nucleotide ribosomal RNA is filed under the name uncultured bacterium. RNAcentral's name for it is "partial 16S ribosomal RNA". It matches the Rfam family "Bacterial small subunit ribosomal RNA", at positions 30 to 507 of the family's 1533-position model. The record is from RNAcentral.
AUUGAACGCUGGCGGCAUGCCUUACACAUGCAAAUCGAACGGUAACGGGCCUUCGGGUGCCGACGAGUGGCGCACGGGUGAGUAAUACAUCGGAACGUGCCCGAUCUUGGGGGAUAACGAGGCGAAAGCUUUGCUAAUACCGCAUACGAUCUACGGAUGAAAGCCGGGGACCGCAAGGCCUUGCGCGGACGGAGCGGCCGAUGGCAGAUUAGGUAGUUGGUGGGAUAAAAGCUUACCAAGCCGACGAUCUGUAGCUGGUCUGAGAGGAUGAUCAGCCACACUGGGACUGAGACACGGCCCAGACUCCUACGGGAGGCAGCAGUGGGGAAUUUUGGACAAUGGGCGCAAGCCUGAUCCAGCCAUGCCGCGUGCAGGAUGAAGGCCUUCGGGUUGUAAACUGAUUUUGUACGGAACGAAAAGCCUUCUUUUAAUACAGGAGGGUCAUGACGGUACCGUAAGAAUAAGCACCGGCUAACUACGUG